This 1117-nucleotide long non-coding RNA is filed under the name Capsicum annuum. RNAcentral describes it as "long non-coding RNA (CANN_LNC009099)". The record is from RNAcentral. Lineage: Eukaryota; Viridiplantae; Streptophyta; Magnoliopsida; Solanales; Solanaceae.
AAGGACAGAUAAGAAAACUACGAAUACUAAUAAUAUGACAUUAUAUUAUAGUAUGUUUAUACAUACUUGAAAGGGAUGAGUUAUUAUAACAUUCAAAACUGCUUUUUUAUCACAAAAUAAUUACUUAGAAAAAAUAAAUUUAAGAUUAUUUUGCAAAAUUGUUUCUUUAUGUUUGUUGACUAUCAACCAAACUUGUAGAAAACACAAAGAAAAUAUCAUUACGCUGCUGGAAAAAUAAAGAAAACGGUUAUAUCCACCGAUUUUCCGGCGUAUAGUGACGGAAAAGAAGAGACAACGGCUGAGGAAACCCACUAUGGCGAUUUGGUUCACCGGUGGGACACUGGGAUAGAUUUUAUGGCUGCUUUGGCGUCGAGGAAGCGGGUAGGCGGCAUUAGGUUGGUUCCGGCGACUGAAAACCACCGUUCAUGGUUGUUUGUUGUUAGAUCUGGACUUUUUCAAUGAGUUCUCACAUUUUCCGGCGAAGUUUAUCAGUUUUUGGAGAAAUUUCCGGCGACAGUGGAAUGGAUUAAAGCAAUAUUGAGUUUUCCGAACGAUUUUCCUUUCGUUCUCAACUGUUUUCUCUCUUACCUUACUUUUCUAUUCAAUUCUACUCUAUUUGUAACUGUAGGCACCAAUUUCGUUUCCCUUUUUUUUUUUUUUUACUGAUUUCUCUCCUCUGUACAGUGUGUUACAUAUGUGAUGUGAAUGAAAAUUAAAAAUAUCAGUGAUGUAGUGCGUGUUGUGAAUGUACAGUUUGUAAAACAUGGAUUCUGUCAAUACAUUGUUUGUGUGAAAUAUCUAUCUCAUUACAUGUAUUCAUACACAUUCAUGUUCUUUCACCACAAAAUUGAUAGCAUAAAUAAUACAAGUUCGAAGAUGAACUUGUAAUGAAUAAAUACAAAAGAUCGAAACUCUGACUUUCACUCUUUCUUCCUUUCUCUCUUUUUGAUUGAUGUUUUUCUCUCUUCUUUUCAAUGAUUUUUUUUUAUUUUGUUUAUUAAUUUUUAUUUUUUGUUGCAGUAUCUGAUAAUGGCAGUGUCUGAUUUUUAAUUCAAAUUUAAAAUUCAAUUUUUUUUUUAAAUUAGAAUAAAAAUAAAAAAAAAUAUCUCAAAGUAGC